Molecule: ribosomal RNA, 253 nt
Filed under: uncultured bacterium
Lineage: Bacteria
Description: partial 16S ribosomal RNA
Rfam family: Bacterial small subunit ribosomal RNA
Source: RNAcentral
UACGUAUGGUGCAAGCGUUAUCCGGAUUUGCUGGGUGUAAAGGGAGCGCAGGCGGCGCGGCAAGUCCGAUGUGAAAACCCCCGGCUCAACCGGGGGACUGCAUUGGAAACUACCGGGCUGGAGUGCCGGAGAGGUAGGCGGAAUUCCUGGUGUAGCGGUGAAAUGCGUAGAUAUCAGGAGGAACACCAGUGGCGAAGGCGGCCUACUGGACGGUGACUGACGCUGAGGCUCGAAAGCGUGGGGAGCAAACAGG